Molecule: ribosomal RNA, 371 nt
Filed under: uncultured organism
Description: bacterial SSU rRNA
Rfam family: Bacterial small subunit ribosomal RNA
Source: RNAcentral
CGAAGGGGGCGAGCGUUGUUCGGAUUUACUGGGCGUAAAGGGCGCGUAGGCGGCGCAGCAAGUCGCGUGUGAAAGCCCCGGGCUCAACCUGGGAAUGGCGCGCGAUACUGCUGUGCUGGAGUUCGGGAGAGGAGCGUGGAAUUCCCAGUGUAGAGGUGAAAUUCGUAGAUAUUGGGAAGAACACCGGUGGCGAAGGCGGCGCUCUGGACCGAUACUGACGCUGAGGCGCGAAGGCGUGGGGAGCAAACAGGAUUAGAUACCCUGGUAGUCCACGCGGUAAACGAUGUGUGCUAGACGUUGUGGAGCCUAGCUCUUCGGUGUCGCAGCAAACGCUUUAAGCACACCGCCUGGGGAGUACGGCCGCAAGGUUA